GCAGUGGUGGUUCAGUGACAGAAUUCUCCCCUUCCAUGCCGGAGAUCCAGGUUCGACUCCUGACCAAUGUA
RNAcentral lists this transfer RNA (71 nucleotides) under Loxodonta africana (African savanna elephant). It matches the Rfam family "tRNA". From Rfam's summary of the family: Transfer RNA (tRNA) molecules are approximately 80 nucleotides in length. Their secondary structure includes four short double-helical elements and three loops (D, anti-codon, and T loops). Further hydrogen bonds mediate the characteristic L-shaped molecular structure. tRNAs have two regions of fundamental functional importance: the anti-codon, which is responsible for specific mRNA codon recognition, and the 3' end, to which the tRNAs corresponding amino acid is attached (by aminoacyl-tRNA synthetases). tRNAs cope with the degeneracy of the genetic code in two manners: having more than one tRNA (with a specific anti-codon) for a particular amino acid; and 'wobble' base-pairing, i.e. permitting non-standard base-pairing at the 3rd anti-codon position. The record is from Rfam by way of RNAcentral. Lineage: Eukaryota; Metazoa; Chordata; Mammalia; Proboscidea; Elephantidae.